UUUAUUCAGCAGAACAUAAGAUAAAAUUGGAAUGAUACAGAGAAGAUUAGCAUGGCCCCUACACAAGAAUGACAUUCAAAUUCAUGAAGCAUUUUAUAUUUUU
Sciurus carolinensis (gray squirrel) is the source of this 103-nucleotide small nuclear RNA. The record is from RefSeq and is a predicted model, not a curated record. NCBI's taxonomy places the organism in Eukaryota, Metazoa, Chordata, Mammalia, Rodentia, Sciuridae.